CUACCCACCUACCUCCUCGGCCCCGCACUGCUCACAUGCAAACCGUUUUGGACAGCAAGCGAGAAAAGCUGUCGCCGCUGCUGGUUGUCGUCGUCGUUGUAUGGCAACAUUUUUGCAGUCAAUGGGUAGCACACAUUAGCAGAAGUAAAUUCAUUGACGACAGACGCGUACAUUUUGUGUUGCGGACUCGGCGCAUCGGCAUCGAGCCAGCUGUCAUCAGAGCUCAAGCAAUCAGCAACGGCCAGCCGCCGUACAAAUAACUUACUAACAAUUUAAAUGGCAUUUCAAAUAUCAUACAUCCACUUUCCAACUUAACAACGCCGCAUUGUUUGCCUGUGCGGUUGUGUGAGUGCGAUUGCCACUCUAUGUGUGAGUGUGUGUAUGAGCGCGUUCUGUGCAAUGAAUUAAAUCACUUAUAAAACGAGACACUUUUGAAAUAAUAAAAAAUGAUAAGUAAGAAAUUGAACAAUGCAUGCAUGUGUGUUUGUGCGCACACACGUACACAUAUCAGUAUACAGCACACACACACACCCUUAUAUACUUAUGCAUAGUUCUUAAUUGUCUAACUCGAGUAGUUUUCAAGUGCUUGCCAAGUGAUGUAGUGGAAAAACAAUUUAUGAAUUUCUGUAGUUAAAUUGAAAAUUAAUGAAAUGAAUUCUACACACAUGAACAUACCAUGUAGUAUGUGUGUAUUUAGUGUAUAUAAAUACAUAAAGUAUUUGACGCAGCGUAAGAACAUUAAUUUGACGCCGUAUACACACACAUAUUCACCAUUAAGUGUAGAGAAAAGUGGAGGAAUGCAAAAAGGAACUCAUGAAAUCUCUGCGGAAAACUAUUAUGUACCGUUACACUAACAUUUUGCCGCAAAAAAGCAGUAUAAUGUUGGCCAUAAGCAUAAUGUGUUCUUCGAAUAAAUAUGGCAAAGUAAAUGAAACAUUGAGAAGAGGAGCAGAACAUUUGGUAUAUUGGAGGUAUUGGAAAAUAAUAUACCAAAUAUUUCUUACUCUUUUUACUAGUAAUAGAAUAACUAUGUAAACUUUGAAAAAUGCAAGGAGUAAAAUUUGUCAAACUGUUUAGAACAUAGUGGCUUUAAGUUUAAAAAAAAUAUAUACCUACAUAAAUAAAUCUAAAA
Bactrocera tryoni is the source of this 1132-nucleotide long non-coding RNA. RefSeq lists it as uncharacterized. The transcript is spliced from 2 exons. Lineage: Eukaryota; Metazoa; Arthropoda; Insecta; Diptera; Tephritidae. The record is from RefSeq and is a predicted model, not a curated record.